This 509-nucleotide ribosomal RNA is filed under the name uncultured bacterium. RNAcentral's name for it is "partial 16S ribosomal RNA". It matches the Rfam family "Bacterial small subunit ribosomal RNA", at positions 29 to 523 of the family's 1533-position model. The record is from RNAcentral.
UACGAACGCUGGCGGCGUGCUUAACACAUGCAAGUGGAGCGACGAACCAGGGCUUGCCCUGGGGCAGAGCCGCGAACGGGUGAGUAACACGUGGGUAACCUGCCUCGAUGAUCGGGACAACCCGGGGAAACCCGGGCUAAUGCCGAAUGUGCUCCGACCACAUCAGUGGACGGCGUAAAGGAAGCUUCGGCCUCCGCAUCGAGAUGGGCCCGCGGCCCAUUAGCUUGUUGGUGGGGUAAAGGCCCACCAAGGCUUCGAUGGGAAGCUGGUCUGAGAGGACGAUCAGCCACACUGGGACUGAGACGCGGCCCAGACUCCUACGGGAGGCAGCAGUGGGGAAUCUUGCGCAAUGCGCGAAAGCGUGACGCAGCAACGCCGCGUGGGGGAAGACGGCCUUAGGGUUGUAAACCCCUUUCAGGAGGGACGAAGGUCGGCGCGUUAAUAGCGUGUCCGACUGACGGUACCUCCACAAGAAGCCCCGGCUAACUACGUGCCAGCCGCCGCCGUAA